UUGUCAAAAAUUAUUUUGCAGAAAUGACUGGACUGUUUUAGGAGAUUAACAAAAUAAUUACUUCACACAUGUUGUGAGCAAUUUGUUUCACAAAGAGCAUGAAAUUAAACAAUUCAGAUGUUAAGCUGAACUCGAUAUGAACCCAAAACAAGACGCCCACACGGUGAACAGGGUCCUCUAGUACCACUGUUAGAGAAUCGGAACAGCAGGAAAACUCGGGAAUGUGUUAAAUGGAUUUCCUGAGAAGUUCUCCAGAGCAUUAGCACCAAUUAAACCGCCCCCUAAUGAGGGAUUUAAGCCUGCAUCCCAGCAGGAAAGAGAGCAAGAGAACGGGAGGAACGGGGGCUGGGAGUCAUGACUAACACUAAAGAUUCUUCAGAUACGUGUGGGCUUGUGAUGUCCUAUGGAUCUCUGUAUGUCACUUACAUAUUGGAGCUACAGUAAAUGCAUGGGUGGAGGCAGAUGGCUGAAUUCAAGGAUGAAAGGAGGUUUAAUCAUGCAACUGACUACGAAAGGUGUAAGAGUCAAAUUUAGACGUAUGUUUAUAAGGCAAGAAAAAAACAGUAUCAAGAUCAGAACACUGUCCAAUAAAUCACAGACCUGUGAAACUAGGACAUAUAGUAUGUUUUCUAAACACUGUCUGGAACUGUUGACGUCUCUUAAUAUAACACACACCUCCACAUCAAACACAUAUCUGCUAACAACACACUUGGAAUGCUUUGAAAGCCAAAGUGUUUAUCGUUUCUAUUUAGUGCACAAGA
Long non-coding RNA from Onychostoma macrolepis, 761 nucleotides. RefSeq lists it as uncharacterized. The record is from RefSeq and is a predicted model, not a curated record. Lineage: Eukaryota; Metazoa; Chordata; Actinopteri; Cypriniformes; Cyprinidae. The transcript has 3 exons.